This is a long non-coding RNA of Terrapene triunguis (Three-toed box turtle), 485 nucleotides long. RefSeq lists it as uncharacterized. The record is from RefSeq and is a predicted model, not a curated record. The transcript is spliced from 3 exons. Lineage: Eukaryota; Metazoa; Chordata; Testudines; Emydidae.
AGACUGGAUUUCUAACAAGGAAGUUCUAAACAAGGACUGAUGACCUCCAACCUGUUUGGGUGAAUUUAUCUGCAUGACCUUGUCAUGCAUCUGAUGCAAAGUCACCAUUUUGCAGACGGGUAUUAAAAGUGAAUUGCAAGAGCUGAGCAGUUGACCGAUAUGAAAGGGAAGAAACAGGUUUAAGGAUGAGAUGUCUGAAGCCUUCCUUACAGACUUUCCAAAAAACCCUCGAAAACUACUGACAACUGGAAAGUGUUUUUGAUGUCUGAAAGAGAAAGACAGGCAGCUAUCCUGCGACAGCAUUGAACUGGCCCGAGGCAGUGUUGCCAUGACGAAAGACGCUGCGGAGAAAGAUAGGGACUCCUGGAGGCAAUGAUCAGGCAGAACGUUCUGUUGGAUUGCAUAGUGAAAUUAGGCCAGCAGACAAUCCAGCAUCUUCAACCAGAACCGGUCAUGUUCUGCAGCCUCUCGAUUAUCUAGGGUAC